UUGGAGGGCAAGUCUGGUGCCAGCAGCCGCGGUAAUUCCAGCUCCAAUAGCGUAUAUUAAAGUUGUUGCAGUUAAAAAGCUCGUAGUUGAAUUUCGGGAUCAAUAUUUCGGUCAUGCCGUUGGUAUGCACUGUUAUCAUUGAUUUCUCACCUUCUAAAGAACCGUAAUGCCAUUAAUUUGGUGUUACGGGGAAUUAGGACUGUUACCUUGAAAAAGUUAGAGUGUUUAAAGCAGGCUCACGCUUGAAUACAUUAGCAUGGAAUAAUGAAAUAGGACAUCCGAUUCUAUUUUGUUGGUUUCUAGGAUCGAUGUAAUGAUUAAUAGGGAUAGUUGGGGGCAUUAGUAUUCAAUUGUCAGAGGUGAAAUUCUUGGAUUUAUUGAAGACUAACUACUGCGAAAGCAUUUGCCAAGGAUGUUUUCAUUAAUCAAGAACGAAAGUUAGGGGAUCGAAGACGAUCAGAUACCGUCGUAGUCUUAACCAUAAACUAUGCCGACUAGGGAUCGGAUGAUGUUAAUUUCUUAAUGACUCAUUCGGCACCUUACGGGAAAC
RNAcentral lists this ribosomal RNA (550 nucleotides) under uncultured Glomus. RNAcentral's name for it is "SSU rRNA". It matches the Rfam family "Eukaryotic small subunit ribosomal RNA", at positions 548 to 1098 of the family's 1831-position model. The record is from RNAcentral. Lineage: Eukaryota; Fungi; Glomeromycota; Glomeromycetes; Glomerales; Glomeraceae.